This 464-nucleotide ribosomal RNA is filed under the name uncultured Klebsiella sp. RNAcentral's name for it is "bacterial SSU rRNA". It matches the Rfam family "Bacterial small subunit ribosomal RNA", at positions 338 to 795 of the family's 1533-position model. The record is from RNAcentral. Lineage: Bacteria; Pseudomonadati; Pseudomonadota; Gammaproteobacteria; Enterobacterales; Enterobacteriaceae.
CCUACGGGGGGCUGCAGUGGGGAAUAUUGCACAAUGGGCGCAAGCCUGAUGCAGCCAUGCCGCGUGUGUGAAGAAGGCCUUCGGGUUGUAAAGCACUUUCAGCGGGGAGGAAGGCGGUGAGGUUAAUAACCUCAUCGAUUGACGUUACCCGCAGAAGAAGCACCGGCUAACUCCGUGCCAGCAGCCGCGGUAAUACGGAGGGUGCAAGCGUUAAUCGGAAUUACUGGGCGUAAAGCGCACGCAGGCGGUCUGUCAAGUCGGAUGUGAAAUCCCCGGGCUCAACCUGGGAACUGCAUUCGAAACUGGCAGGCUAGAGUCUUGUAGGGGGGGGUAGAAUUCCAGGUGUAGCGGUGAAAUGCGUAGAGAUCUGGAGGAAUACCGGUGGCGAGGGCGGCCCCCUGGACAAAGACUGCCGCUCAGGUGCGAAAGCGUGGGGAGCAAACAGGAUAAGAUACCCUAUAGUC